Molecule: transfer-messenger RNA, 344 nt
Filed under: chicken gut metagenome
Rfam family: transfer-messenger RNA
About the family: Bacterial tmRNA, also known as 10Sa RNA or SsrA, is named for its dual tRNA and mRNA-like properties.
Source: RNAcentral
GGGGGUGUUCCGGAUUCGACUUGCGAAUUCAAGGGACGGUAAGCAUACCGAAGGCUCGACUUCGUAAAAACGGGAAAUAAAAAAGAACUGACAACGAAAGUUAUCAAUACGCUGCCGCAUAAGCGGGCAGCCGUCGGACCUACUUCCUGCGCGUAGCAAUCCGGCGUGGUUUAGCAGGGAACAGAGUCGCAUCGCGCCCGAGGUGCGAAACGGAAUACAGGGCUGAGUCAAAGCGCGUUUUGUAAGCUGAGUACGCGGCGACAAGAAAUUUCAACUUACUAAGUAUGUAGAAAGCCGUUCGGUGGACCGUAAGAACAGGGGUUCAAAUCCCCUCACCUCCACCA